RNAcentral lists this transfer RNA (96 nucleotides) under Planotetraspora thailandica. Its description in RNAcentral is "tRNA-Arg". Lineage: Bacteria; Bacillati; Actinomycetota; Actinomycetes; Streptosporangiales; Streptosporangiaceae. The record is from RNAcentral.
CGACAUCGUGGCGGAGGUCGUGGACCGCAUCGGCUACGACGCCGUCCAGCUGGACGGUCUGCGGGCGGGCCGCCUGUUCGAACCCGGCGGUCCCGU